UACGUAGGGGGCUAGCGUUGCUCGGAAUCACUGGGCGUAAAGCGCACGUAGGCGGAUUGUUAAGUCAGGGGUGAAAUCCUGGAGCUCAACUCCAGAACUGCCUUUGAUACUGAAGAUCUUGAGUUCGGGAGAGGUGAGUGGAACUGCGAGUGUAGAGGUGAAAUUCGUAGAUAUUCGCAAGAACACCAGUGGCGAAGGCGGCUCUCUGGCCCGAUACUGACGCUGAGGUGCGAAAGCGUGGGGAGCAAACAGG
Molecule: ribosomal RNA, 253 nt
Filed under: uncultured bacterium
Lineage: Bacteria
Description: partial 16S ribosomal RNA
Rfam family: Bacterial small subunit ribosomal RNA
Source: RNAcentral